Molecule: ribosomal RNA, 430 nt
Filed under: uncultured bacterium
Lineage: Bacteria
Description: partial 16S ribosomal RNA
Rfam family: Bacterial small subunit ribosomal RNA
Source: RNAcentral
AACGAACGCUGGCGGCAUGCCUAACACAUGCAAGUCGAACGAGACCUUCGGGUCUAGUGGCGCACGGGUGCGUAACGCGUGGGAACCUGCCCUUAGGUUCGGAAUAACUCCCCGAAAGGGGUGCUAAUACCGGAUAAUGUCUUCGGACCAAAGAUUUAUCGCCUUUGGAUGGGCCCGCGUUGGAUUAGCUAGUUGGUAGGGUAAAAGCCUACCAAGGCGACGAUCCAUAGCUGGUCUGAGAGGAUGAUCAGCCACACUGGGACUGAGACACGGCCCAGACUCCUACGGGAGGCAGCAGUGGGGAAUAUUGGACAAUGGGCGAAAGCCUGAUCCAGCAAUGCCGCGUGAGUGAAGGCCUUAGGGUUGUAAAGCUCUUUUACCCGGGAUGAUAAUGACAGUACCGGGAGAAUAAGCUCCGGCUAACUCCGUG